GCAAUUUAUUCGCUGUUUAUCAAAUCUAUGGCGCCCUUCCAAUUCAGACAGGCAGUGAUCAGCCACCAAAAAGAGGCCUGGGAAGGGGCGUGGUUUCAAGCAUAUAUAAAACGUGUCGGCCGCUACAGUCUGUCUCUUCCUGUGCGCUGUAGAGGCACGGAUGCCCUUUCGAGUAGCCAUGGCGCUUAAACAGCCGGAUCUGUUCGUUUAAUAUGCUUUCCAGUCCGCUUUGUACGGCGCUCAGAGCUCCCCGUGCGGCUCGGCGGCCGGGCCCAGCGCGCGUUAACAGAUGCUGAUGGUGAGGCGAUGAGGAUGCCGGGGGGCCGCAGGCUGGUGAGGCGGUGAGGAUGCCGGGGGGCCGCAGGCUGGUGAGGCGAUGAGGAUGCUGGGGGGCCGCAGGCAGGCCGUGUGCCGCCGAGGGGGGCCGGAUGCCCUGCUUUACGUCAGGUCAAUCGAAGCAAGACACGCGUCCUCGGCUGCGAUCUCCUACCGGUGCUGCUUAUGACCGGCUUCGGUGACUCGAUCACUCGAUCUAAACCAAUCACGGCCCCGACCCCACGGAGAUCGCUGCAGUCGAGGUGCAAGAAUGUCGAGGCUGAAGAUGGCAGCGCUGUGAAGAAUUGGUUAAACCAUUCUAAAGAUGCUGCAUGAGUCCAACUUCUGUUAUAUAUAUA
Spea bombifrons (plains spadefoot toad) is the source of this 674-nucleotide long non-coding RNA. RefSeq lists it as uncharacterized. The transcript has 6 exons. The record is from RefSeq and is a predicted model, not a curated record. NCBI's taxonomy places the organism in Eukaryota, Metazoa, Chordata, Amphibia, Anura, Pelobatidae.